UACAGAGGAGGCAAGCGUUGUUCGGAAUUACUGGGCGUAAAGGGCGCGUAGGCGGCCGCCUAAGUCAGACGUGAAAUCCCCAGGCUCAACCUGGGAACUGCGUCCGAUACUGGAUGGCUUGAAUCCGGGAGAGGGAUGCAGAAUUCCAGGUGUAGCGGUGAAAUGCGUAGAUAUCUGGAGGAAUACCGGUGGCGAAGGCGGCAUCCUGGACCGGCAUUGACGCUGAUGAGCGAAAGCUAGGGGAGCAAACGGG
RNAcentral lists this ribosomal RNA (253 nucleotides) under uncultured bacterium. RNAcentral describes it as "partial 16S ribosomal RNA". It matches the Rfam family "Bacterial small subunit ribosomal RNA", at positions 524 to 776 of the family's 1533-position model. The record is from RNAcentral.